Molecule: ribosomal RNA, 327 nt
Filed under: bacterium enrichment culture clone FeOXA5
Lineage: Bacteria
Description: bacterial SSU rRNA
Rfam family: Bacterial small subunit ribosomal RNA
Source: RNAcentral
GCAGGCGGUCCUUUAAGUCUGAUGUGAAAGCCCACGGCUCAACCGUGGAGGGUCAUUGGAAACUGGGGGACUUGAGUGCAGAAGAGGAAAGCGGAAUUCCACGUGUAGCGGUGAAAUGCGUAGAGAUGUGGAGGAACACCAGUGGCGAAGGCGGCUUUCUGGUCUGUAACUGACGCUGAGGCGCGAAAGCGUGGGGAGCAAACAGGAUUAGAUACCCUGGUAGUCCACGCCGUAAACGAUGAGUGCUAAGUGUUAGAGGGUUUCCGCCCUUUAGUGCUGCAGCUAACGCAUUAAGCACUCCGCCUGGGGAGUACGGCCGCAAGGCUG